CCUUCGCUUCCUUUGUAAUCGCUCGGUUUCUCAUUAAUCGGGUCGCACCAGAUCGGAGCUCCUCCGCUGUCUCACCCAGAGCCGCACAUUGAGUGAGGCUUGCAAGGGUUUAGAAAAGUUGUGUCGUUCCAAGCGAUGCACAUCCUAUUGCGUUCUUCUCCUUCAUUAUUGCAACACCGCAUUCUUCAAUUUGAGGUUUUUGUUGAACCACAACCUAUUCCUAUCAACGCAUCCAUUCCAAGCGACGCACAUCCAAUGGGUGAGAAAACGAAUCAUUCACAAUUUUGGACGUCAAGGUUAAGGUCUCACCUACCUCUGAUGUCGUUCCAAAUGAGCCUUUGAUUUUUUUUCUUUUCUUAUUUGUGAAUUGAAUUUGUGUUUGAGAUUCAACCUCGGAAAUUCAUCUUUGGGAUGUGAAUAUUUUUCUUGGUGGCAUGGAUUUAUCUAGAAAAGUUCAGAUCUCACAUUGAGAUAGUAAUCCUUUCAUCGAACCACUGAGGUUUCAAAUACCAUAGGUUUGGUUCAUUAUUCUUCGAGAUCCCUUCUUUCAGAAUUUCAGUGAUUGGGUUUCCUAAUGGUGCUUAUGAUGUCAACCACUCCCCAGGUACCCAUACUCGACGCCUUAAUUCAGAAUUAGUAAAAUCUGGAAAACAUAGCCUUCUAUGGAAUUUCUGUUUUAAAAACGGCUAUCUGAUUAGGUUAAUUAUGUGUUAUAUAUGAUCUUUCCCCAUUGUUUCAAUGUCUGACUUCGACAUUUCGUUUUAUCUCACUUCUUCCCGUCCUGUAGUUUCAUAGUUUCACUUUUUAAUGUCUCUGUGAAUUGUUGAUCGCAUUUUCACCUUUUCUCUGUUAGGUUUUUCUCUCGCUUUCAUUUUCACUUUGUUGCUCUC
Molecule: long non-coding RNA, 890 nt
Organism: Lotus japonicus
Lineage: Eukaryota; Viridiplantae; Streptophyta; Magnoliopsida; Fabales; Fabaceae
Exons: 4
Source: RefSeq, a predicted model, not a curated record